GUUUUAUCCCCUGUACUGACUACGAUUAUUCCUGGCAAACACACUUUGAGAAGCUGAAGGUACUACUGCGUUUACUACAUUAAGGAACAGUGCUGGUUUACACUGAAGAGGAUGCGGACAAGGACGUGGAUCAAAAUGAGGAUUCAUUACCUUGAAGCAGCUACUUUGAGAUGACAUCUCUGUGGUCCUUCAGGAUGGGUGCAGGUCCGAGCAGACUCCGUUGGCAGGGCAGCAGCUGCAGUAAACUUUCUGAGCACGAGUUUCUUGGGGGGAACUUGAGAGAAAACGUGCAUGAAGUCUCCCCACGUUCACAGCUGAUGAUUUGCAAAGCUAUAGUCUUCCUCCUCAGUAAAUACGCUCAUUCAGUAUGAUCGACAGAACUUGUGGCAUCGUCCUGACUGUCAUUUUUUUGUCAAAUAUUAACAAGGGAGAGUUUAAAAAAGUAUCCAAAGGUAGGGAGGGAAAAAAGUUACAAACUGUACUGCUGGUUCAAGUUUCUUCAGGCAUCACUGGUGUACAACUGUGAGAUAAUGCGUUAUAAUUGUUAUUUGUAGCAUGGGGCCACCCUGUGCUGCUUCCUGUAGCGUGUCCAUUUGGAAGAGGCUUUUAAAACCGGCAGGG
Molecule: long non-coding RNA, 621 nt
Organism: Ictalurus punctatus (channel catfish)
Lineage: Eukaryota; Metazoa; Chordata; Actinopteri; Siluriformes; Ictaluridae
Exons: 2
Source: RefSeq, a predicted model, not a curated record